This 546-nucleotide ribosomal RNA is filed under the name uncultured delta proteobacterium. RNAcentral describes it as "bacterial SSU rRNA". It matches the Rfam family "Bacterial small subunit ribosomal RNA", at positions 355 to 897 of the family's 1533-position model. Lineage: Bacteria; Deltaproteobacteria. The record is from RNAcentral.
UGGGGAAUAUUGGUCAAUGGGCGAAAGCCUGAACCAGCAAUGCCGCGUGAGUGAUGAAGGCCUUCGGGUUGUAAAGCUCUGUCAGUGGGAACGAAUAAGCCGAUUAAUACCCGGUGAUGACGGUACCCACAAAGGAAGCACCGGCUAACUCUGUGCCAGCAGCCGCGGUAAUACAGAGGGUGCAAGCGUUGUUCGGAAUUACUGGGCGUAAAGCGCGUGUAGGCGGUCUUAUAAGUCGGUUGUGAAAUCCCUAGGCUUAACCUAGGAACUGCAUCCGAAACUGUUAGACUAGAGUAUCGGAGGGGAUGGCGGAAUUCCUGGUGUAGAGGUGAAAUUCGUAGAUAUCAGGAGGAACACCUGUGGCGAAGGCGGCCAUCUGGAAGAUUACUGACGCUGAGACGCGAAAGCGUGGGGAGCAAACAGGAUUAGAUACCCUGGUAGUCCACGCCGUAAACGAUGAGUGCUAGGUGUUGCGGGUAUUGACCCCUGCAGUGCCAAAGCUAACGCGUUAAGCACUCCGCCUGGGGAGUACGGUCGCAAGAUUAA